AGUGAACGCUGGCGGUAGGCCUAACACAUGCAAGUCGAACGGCAGCACAGUAAGAGCUUGCUCUUACGGGUGGCGAGUGGCGGACGGGUGAGGAAUACAUCGGAAUCUUCUUUUUCGUGGGGGAUAACGUAGGGAAACUUACGCUAAUACCGCAUACGACCUACGGGUGAAAGCAGGGGAUCUUCGGACCUUGCGCGAUUGAAUGAGCCGAUGUCGGAUUAGCUAGUUGGCGGGGUAAAGGCCCACCAAGGCGACGAUCCGUAGCUGGUCUGAGAGGAUGAUCAGCCACACUGGAACUGAGACACGGUCCAGACUCCUACGGGAGGCAGCAGUGGGGAAUAUUGGACAAUGGGCGCAAGCCUGAUCCAGCCAUACCGCGUGGGUGAAGAAGGCCUUCGGGUUGUAAAGCCCUUUUGUUGGGAAAGAAAAGCAGCAGGUUAAUACCCCGCUGUUCUGACGGUACCCAAGGAAUAAGCACCGGCUAACUUCGUG
This 492-nucleotide ribosomal RNA is filed under the name uncultured bacterium. Its description in RNAcentral is "partial 16S ribosomal RNA". It matches the Rfam family "Bacterial small subunit ribosomal RNA", at positions 29 to 507 of the family's 1533-position model. The record is from RNAcentral.